This 403-nucleotide ribosomal RNA is filed under the name Verrucomicrobiota bacterium. Its description in RNAcentral is "Verrucomicrobia bacterium partial 16S ribosomal RNA". It matches the Rfam family "Bacterial small subunit ribosomal RNA", at positions 355 to 776 of the family's 1533-position model. The record is from RNAcentral. Lineage: Bacteria; Pseudomonadati; Verrucomicrobiota.
UGGGGAAUAUUGCACAAUGGGGGAAACCCUGAUGCAGCGACGCCGCGUGAGCGAAGAAGGUUUUCGAAUCGUAAAGCUCUGUCCUAUGAGAAGAUAAUGACGGUAUCAUAGGAGGAAGCCCCGGCUAAAUACGUGCCAGCAGCCGCGGUAAUACGUAUGGGGCGAGCGUUGUCCGGAAUUAUUGGGCGUAAAGGGUACGUAGGCGGUCUAUUAAGUCAGGUGUGAAAGCGUGAGGCUUAACCUCAUUAAGCACUUGAAACUGAUAGACUUGAGGGAAGGAGAGGAAGGGGGAAUUCCUAGUGUAGCGGUGAAAUGCGUAGAUAUUAGGAGGAAUACCGGUGGCGAAGGCGACUUUCUGGACUUUUACUGACGCUCAGGUACGAAAGCGGGGGGAGCAAACAGG